RNAcentral lists this long non-coding RNA (203 nucleotides) under Mytilus galloprovincialis (Mediterranean mussel). The record is from RNAcentral. Lineage: Eukaryota; Metazoa; Mollusca; Bivalvia; Mytilida; Mytilidae.
CUUUAUUUUGGAAACGCUAUUAACUUUUUAAUUAAAAGAAACUAAAAGAUAGUCAGAAUAUAUCUCGGAUAGAAUUUACGAUGAAACUUUUAUAAAAGAGUGACGAAAGAUACCAGAGGGACUUUUAAUUUUGCGUGUAUACUUUGUCCUUAGGCCAUUUUAUGUUUCUUUUUUCACGCCGAACAGCAAUCUAUAAAGGGCCC